CCCCAUUCAGAAGAGUAAAAGCAGAUAGCACCAGAAGUCUUACAGCAUUUGAGCAGCGCACUCCAUUUCCACAUUCGACUCUGCAUGUCAACAAGCUGCUCAAAUCAUAUGUAGUAGGUGUUUCGUUUCGGCCGACCACUUGACGAUCAGUUGCACCGAAAUCUCUUACAGGUGUUCCAUGACUGGGUCAGGUAGUAAAUGCCAACAAAGUCUCCAAAAAAAACGGACCGUCAACUUCAAUCUCUAUUUGAUCGUCUUUGAUAAGCUUAAUAUACGAACAACGCGCCGUCGGACUAUGUAGAACAUGCAUGAAUAAAAUGAUGGGAAUUUUGG
RNAcentral lists this small RNA (333 nucleotides) under Cryptococcus neoformans H99. RNAcentral describes it as "Cryptococcus neoformans var. grubii H99 hypothetical RNA". Lineage: Eukaryota; Fungi; Basidiomycota; Tremellomycetes; Tremellales; Cryptococcaceae. The record is from RNAcentral.